This 408-nucleotide ribosomal RNA is filed under the name uncultured bacterium. RNAcentral describes it as "partial 16S ribosomal RNA". It matches the Rfam family "Bacterial small subunit ribosomal RNA", at positions 28 to 527 of the family's 1533-position model. The record is from RNAcentral.
GACGAACGCUGGCGGCGUGCUUAACACAUGCAAGUCGAACGAAGUGGCGAACGGGUGAGUAACGCGUAAUCAACCUGCCCUUCAGAGGGGGACAACAGUUGGAAACGACUGCUAAUACCUCAUACUGAAGGAGGGGAUUGCGUCUGAUUAGCUAGUUGGAGGGGUAACGGCCCACCAAGGCGAUGAGCAGUAGCGGGUCUGAGAGGUGGAUCCGCCACACUGGGACUGAGACACGGCCCAGACUCCUACGGGAGGCAGCAGUGGGGAAUUUUGGACAAUGGGCGCAAGCCUGAUCCAGCCAUGCCGCGUGUCUGAAGAAGGCCUUCGGGUUGUAAAGGACUUUUGUCAGGGAAGCGGUACCUGAAGAAUAAGCACCGGCUAACUACGUGCCAGCCGCCGCGGUAAUUG